GCUGGGUGUGGUGGCGCACACCUGUAAUCCCAGCUACUUGGGAGGCUGAGGCAGGAGAAUCGCUUGAACUCAGGAGGAGGCAGGAGAAUCACUUGAACCCGGGAGGCAGAGGUUGCAGUGAGCUGAGAUUGCACCACUGCACUCAAGCCUGGGUGACAGAGCGAGACUCUGUCUCUA
Molecule: signal recognition particle RNA, 177 nt
Filed under: Nomascus leucogenys (northern white-cheeked gibbon)
Lineage: Eukaryota; Metazoa; Chordata; Mammalia; Primates; Hylobatidae
Description: Metazoan signal recognition particle RNA
Rfam family: Metazoan signal recognition particle RNA
About the family: The signal recognition particle (SRP) is a universally conserved ribonucleoprotein. It is involved in the co-translational targeting of proteins to membranes.
Source: Rfam by way of RNAcentral